This 253-nucleotide ribosomal RNA is filed under the name uncultured bacterium. Its description in RNAcentral is "partial 16S ribosomal RNA". It matches the Rfam family "Bacterial small subunit ribosomal RNA", at positions 524 to 776 of the family's 1533-position model. The record is from RNAcentral.
UACGUAGGGGGCAAGCGUUGUCCGGAUUUAUUGGGCGUAAAGAGCGUGUAGGCGGCCAAGCGGGUCCGCUGUGAAAACUCGAGGCUCAACCUCGAGACGUCGGUGGAAACCGUUUGGCUAGAGUCCGGAAGAGGAGAGUGGAAUUCCCGGUGUAGCGGUGAAAUGCGCAGAUAUCGGGAAGAACACCCGUGGCGAAGGCGGCUCUCUGGGACGGUACUGACGCUGAGACGCGAAAGCGUGGGGAGCGAACAGG